This 351-nucleotide ribosomal RNA is filed under the name Triticum aestivum (bread wheat). RNAcentral describes it as "partial small subunit ribosomal RNA". Lineage: Eukaryota; Viridiplantae; Streptophyta; Magnoliopsida; Poales; Poaceae. The record is from RNAcentral.
AUCCAACAGCCCACCAAUAGCCCUGAUUUGAAUGGGCUUGACCUUGGGUUCUUCAACUCGUUACAAUCUUUGACAUAUUUUUUAAGCCCUAGAACGCUUCAGGAUCUUAUCAAGGGUGUGCUUGAUGAAUUUGAAAACUAUGAGGUUUACAAGCUGAACAGAGUUUUCCUAUCUCUACAAGCUUGCAUGAUUGAAAUCUUGAAGCAUGCAGGGAAUGGGUAUAAAAUACCCCAUGCGAACAAGGAAAGGCUAGAGAAACUUGGGAUGCUACCUCCAAGACUUACAUGCCCUCAAGAGGUAUAUGCAAAUGCCCUGCACAAUCUUGGGAUAAUGGAGAGAGUUGCUUGUUGA